CUUAAGCAUAUCAAUAAGCGGAGGAAAAGAAACCAACAGGGAUUGCCUCAGUAACGGCGAGUGAAGCGGCAAGAGCUCAAAUUUGAAAGCUGGCCCCCUCGGGGUCCGCGUUGUAAUUUGCAGAGGAUGCUUCGGGAGCGGCCCCCGUCUAAGUGCCCUGGAACGGGCCGUCAUAGAGGGUGAGAAUCCCGUCUGGGAUGGGGUGUCUGCGACCGUGUGAAGCUCCUUCGACGAGUCGAGUUGUUUGGGAAUGCAGCUCUAAAUGGGUGGUAAAUUUCAUCUAAAGCUAAAUACUGGCCGGAGACCGAUAGCGCACAAGUAGAGUGAUCGAAAGAUGAAAAGCACUUUGAAAAGAGAGUUAAACAGCACGUGAAAUUGUUGAAAGGGAAGCGUUUGCGACCAGACUCGCCCGCGGGGUUCAGCCGGCAUUCGUGCCGGUGUACUUCCCCGUGGGCGGGCCAGCGUCGGUUUGGGCGGCCGGUCAAAGGCCCUCGGAAUGUAUCACCUCUCGGGGUGUCUUAUAGCCGAGGGUGCAAUGCGGCCUGCCUGGACCGAGGAACGCGCUUCGGCUCGGACGCUGGCGUAAUGGUCGUAAAUGACCCGUCUUGAAACACGGACCAAGGAGUCUAACAUCUACGCGAGUGUUCGGGUGUCAAACCCGUACGCGCAGUGAAAGCGAACGGAGGUGGGAGCCCCCUCGGCGGGGCGCACCAUCGACCGAUCCUGAUGUCUUCGGAUGGAUUUGAGUACGAGCGUAGCUGUGGGGACCCGAAAGAUGGUGAACUAUGCCUGAAUAGGGCGAAGCCAGAGGAAACUCUGGUGGAGGCUCGCAGCGGUUCUGACGUGCAAAUCGAUCGUCAAAUU
RNAcentral lists this ribosomal RNA (864 nucleotides) under Aspergillus fumigatus. RNAcentral's name for it is "LSU rRNA". It matches the Rfam family "Eukaryotic large subunit ribosomal RNA", at positions 33 to 911 of the family's 3401-position model. The record is from RNAcentral. Lineage: Eukaryota; Fungi; Ascomycota; Eurotiomycetes; Eurotiales; Aspergillaceae.